GAUCAUUAAAAAAAAUACGCCUGUUCUCUUCGUGGAGUUCAGGAUAGUAUAUAAUCACCUGUUUACCAUUACCUGUUGCUUCCGUGGAGUUACGGGUGCUCUUCCUGUUCGCAGGCUUGAGUUACCUUCCACGAGUAUACUUUAAAAACUUGUUUUGUAUUAUUGUCUGAUUUAAUAUUUUAAUUAAAGUUAAAACUUUCAACAACGGAUCUCUAGGUUCUCGCAUCGAUGAAGAACGCAGCGAAAUGCGAUAAGUAGUGUGAAUUGCAGAUUUCAGUGAAUCAUCGAAUCUUUGAACGCACAUUGCGCCCUUUGGUAUUCCGAAGGGCAUGCCUGUCUGAGCGUCAAUAAAUACUCAAACUUUGGUUUGGUAUUGGGAGAAGAGGUUUUACCUCUCUCCUGUAAGCUAUUGGCGACGCUAUUUCAGCUUGUAAGACGUAGUAAGUAAUUCCUCGUUUAAACAACUGGUAUAGAUGUCUGCCUAAUGAAAUAUUUAUAUUUUAGCUUGACCUCAGAUCAGGUAGGGAUACCCCCUGAACUUAAGCAUAUCAAUAAGGGGAGGAAAAGAAACCAACAGGGAUUGCCUCAGUAACGGCGAGUGAAGCGGCAAAAGCUCAAAUUUGAAAUCUGGCGUCUUCGGCGUCCGAGUUGUAAUUUGUAGAGGUAGCUUUGGGUAUACAGCCAGGUCUAUGUUCCUUGGAACAGGACGUCAUGGAGGGUGAGAAUCCCGUAAAUGGCUUGGCCAGUGCCUAUGUAUAGCGCCUUCGACGAGUCGAGUUGUUUGGGAAUGCAGCUCUAAGUGGGUGGUAAAUUCCAUCUAAAGCUAAAUACUGGCGAGAGACCGAUAGCGCACAAGUAGAGUGAUCGAAAGGUGAAAAGCACUCCGGAAGGAGAGUUAAACAGCACGUGAAAUUGUUGAAAGGGAAGCGCUUGAGACCAGACUCAGGUAACGUUGAUCAACCUCCAUUCUUGGUGGUGCACUCUUCGUUGCUUGGGCCAGCAACAGUUUUGACGGUGGUAUAAAGGUUUAGGGAAUGUGGCUCUCUUCGGGGAGUGUUAUAGCCCUGUUCGUAAUGCUGCCUGUUGAGACUGAGGACCGCGCU
Molecule: ribosomal RNA, 1103 nt
Filed under: fungal sp. ARIZ AZ0907A
Lineage: Eukaryota; Fungi
Description: eukaryotic LSU rRNA
Rfam family: Eukaryotic large subunit ribosomal RNA (bases 507-1103)
Source: RNAcentral